This 253-nucleotide ribosomal RNA is filed under the name uncultured prokaryote. RNAcentral describes it as "partial 16S ribosomal RNA". It matches the Rfam family "Bacterial small subunit ribosomal RNA", at positions 525 to 777 of the family's 1533-position model. The record is from RNAcentral.
ACGUAGGAUGCAAGCGUUAUCCGGAAUUAUUGGGCGUAAAGCGUACGUAGACGGUUUACCAAGUCUGGAGUUAAAGACCGAGGCUCAACCUCGGGAGUGCUCUGGAAACUGGUAGGCUGGAGGACGGCAGAGGAAAGUGGAAUUCCCAGUGUAGCGGUGAAAUGCGUAGAUAUUGGGAGGAACACCAGUGGCGAAAGCGACUUUCUGGGCCGUUCCUGACGCUGAGGUACGAAAGCCAGGGGAGCGAACGGGA